CUUUACUGCAGCUUGGCAGUGGCGCCAGGAAGGGACUGUGUAGGAUAGGUGGGAGGCUUUGAAGCAUGGGCGCUAGCUUGUGUGGAGCCAACCUUGAAAUACCACCCUGUGCCUUUCUGGCGUCUAACCGAGCCCCGUUCAUCCGGGGCCGGGACCCUGCCUGGUGGGCAGUUUGACUGGGGCGGUCGCCUCCCAAAUGGUAACGGAGGCGCGCGAUGGUGGGCUCAAGCCGGUCGGACAUCGGCUGUUGAGUGCAAAGGCACAAGCCCGCCUGACUGCGAGCGCGACGGCGCGAGCAGAGACGAAAGUCGGCCUUAGUGAUCCGGUGGUCCCGCGUGGAAGGGCCAUCGCUCAACGGAUAAAAGGUA
Molecule: ribosomal RNA, 368 nt
Filed under: uncultured organism
Description: bacterial LSU rRNA
Rfam family: Bacterial large subunit ribosomal RNA
Source: RNAcentral